UUUUAGUUUUGGAUUUGUGAAUUUCGGAGCCAAAUUUGAGCAACGACAAUGGCCGGCCAACCGGAGAAGAAGCCACAAUCUGUCUAUGACUUUAGUCUAAAGGACGCGACAGGAAAUGAUGUAGACCUUAGUAUCUUCAAAGGAAAAGUACUACUUAUCGUGAAUGUUGCUUCCAAAUGCGGGAUGACUAACUCAAACUACACGGAACUCAACCAAUUAUAUGAGAAGUACAAAG
This 235-nucleotide unclassified non-coding RNA is filed under the name Hevea brasiliensis (rubber tree). The record is from RNAcentral. Lineage: Eukaryota; Viridiplantae; Streptophyta; Magnoliopsida; Malpighiales; Euphorbiaceae.